This 2970-nucleotide long non-coding RNA is filed under the name Volvox carteri. Its description in RNAcentral is "long non-coding RNA (VCAR_LNC002343)". The record is from RNAcentral. Lineage: Eukaryota; Viridiplantae; Chlorophyta; Chlorophyceae; Chlamydomonadales; Volvocaceae.
GCCCCUGCCGCCUCACAUACCUGUCCCGAUGUACAAUCGUGCCAGCAUGCCGGCGAUGGUGGACCAAAAUCAUUGUAUGUGUAUGACAGUGAAGUUCCUGUUAUGUGAUUUUAUUUUAACUGCGACACAUAUUCCCGAAGAAACUGAGAGCAAGUAUAGGAAAGUCAGAAACACGUUCCCGAAGAAAGUGAGACCAAGUAUAAGAAAGUCAGAAACACGUCAGUGUUUCUGAGUUUCUUCUUGUUCUCACUUUCUGAGGGCUACGGGCAGAACAGGGAGGACCACGUGUGUUCGUGUGUUGAUUCGUGCGCGAGCACCUUUGCAAUUUCUGGCCAAGCGUGGUUUUGAAGGUUAGGACACAGACAAGAUGUUCAGAGAAGUCGCCUGUUCAAAAUCCAGGCAAACUCGGUAGCGCAAACGGAAGGUGCCGGCCUCAUGAAUGCCCUAUGGUUGGUUUUUGGGAUUUGGGACGGCUUCUUCGUUGCAGCUUACAUCUGCUGUCUGUCUGUCGCGACCUUCAAGUGCCAUAUGGCACUGCCAUACUUCAGCCGCAAUGUCCAGCACCUUCUUAGCAUAGCCGAUUUGACAGCUUUUCCAUGGCAGGCAGGCGAGGCCCAGCGCUGGCCCAGCGCCCGACAGAUGUGUGCACUGUGUGGGGGCCCUCCGUGGUGUGACCGGAGGCUCUUCCACUACUAAUGCACACGCAGUGGCUGGUUGCAAGGACUCGGGCGGUUCGCUGCUUUUAUCACCUAGCAGCCGUCAGAAGCUCAGGACGAGGCGGCAUUGAAAGAGGCAACUCGGCAGCGCAUGUAGGCCUUGUGCGUGGCGAGCAGACACCCGUGCAUCAGCAUCAGCAGCAGCAGCAGCAGCAGCAGGUGAGGAAGGCCACUCAGCAGCGCAUGGAGGCCUUGCAUGGUGAGCUUGGAGAGGCGCGCGUGCGGGCCACUUUUGGCCAGCUUUUGUCUCUUUUUGUUGUCCGCGCUGUGUCCCUCUCGCGCAGCAUCUGUCGCAGUCCGAGUCACUGCAGACAUUCCGGACGUUGACCGUCACACGUCGGUCAGUAGCCCUUCGGGGACCGCAGAGGAGAUUUCGUACGUGAUGGCAGGAUGGCGGAUGGUCCUAUAUCCCUGCAAAAGCAGGUCGGCUUAGGAAACUCUAUGUUUCUGUUUUCGGCGGGAGUUUCGGUAGUUACGAUCCGAAGCGCCCGGAGCGUUUGCCCUGGGACCGAUUCAGGUCCAAGAGCGAUUUCGCGACCUCGCAAACUCGUUUUUUGCAGUACCGGUUCGCCAUCCCACAAUUCCUGCCACGUAGAGGUGAUGUGCUUCACAGAGGACGUGUGACAUACAAAUUCGCUUGUGGGAAAGCUUUUACACUCUGGUUGCAGAGCGACGUUUCCCCCUUUUAAUUAUAAGAACGCAAAAAAAUCGCGGUGAGCCCAUAGCCUGAACACUUCGCAUCUCAUCACAUGGGAACCGUGGUGACUUCAGCACCGCCGCUGCAUCGUAUAUGCGUUCGUACUCUGCAUUCGAUUUUUCGCUGCCGUACAUGUAAAAUAUUCUUUCUUUCAUAGCCGGAACUCUUCAGCACCAGGCGUUGCACGUACCGCCAUAAAAUAGGUCGACUGCUCAAGCACGCAACGAACCAGAUAUCACAACGAACUAAAUUUUUUUCAACGAACCAACGCUUAAAGUUAACAAAGAAGUCGGGAACAGGGAAGGUUCCACACAUCCAACAAACUUGUGAAAUGGGCCCUCGUGGCGUAACCGUCACCAUCUCGGCUUCGGCCUCAGCACCGACCCAUGGGACCGUAAUCAAACGUCCUACGAGCCGCGGCUCCCGUCAGACCCCCAACUACGGCCGCUUUGGUGCGGUUGGCAGCAAAACCGUUUUUCCUUCGAGUUGCAGCUACUGCCGCUGUCGCCGCACCGCGGCGGCUGCAGCUAGGCCGCUUGCGUUCCGGGAGAAGGAGGAGAAACCGGAGUUACAAGCGGGAAUGCUGAAGCAAGGGGAGGCGUUUCGGAUGGGGCAGGCGCAGCGACUCAGCCGCCGCGGCUGGGCUGUGCUUGACAAGAAGGUGCACAGGGGCUUCGGAGCUGAGACUUUGAGAUGCAAGUCUCAAAUAUGCACUACAUUCCGGAAAUGCAUUUUUGAACGUGGCCAUCUUAUUAUUAUCAUUGUUAUUAUUAUUAUUAUUAUUAUUAUUAUUAUUAUUAUUAUUAUUAUUAUAUUUUUAUUAUUUUAUUUUUAUUAUAUUAUCAUUUUUUAUAUUAUUAGUAUAAUAAUAAUAAUUAUUAUUGUAUGUUAUAUUAUUAUAUGUUAUUUGUGGCUUUUGUGAUAACUUUUUUGAGUAGUUGCCGUACCGCUUAGGGGUCGUCCAGACGGAGGGCUACCUGUAGACAGGAAAGUUGUGCUUGUUUCCGUGGGAGGUGGAGGGUGAGCCUGGCUACCGAACCGACCCUGGUGCUGUACGCUGUAGUAUAGAGUAGGGCAGAAGCCGCAGCGGAAACUUGUCAGUACUCUCUGACACUAUGAACUCGUAAAGUUAUAUUCGCACUACUCCUGCGACUUAUUCCAGCCCUGUACGGCCCAGCCGUACGCACCAACGACAUUCAACCGAGUACGCUCUCGGCAAAUACUCAGAAUACUUGCCGAGAAAGUCUUUUUAUUGCAAAUACGCCUUGGUUAAACCUUGGUUUUCUUUUCUCUCGAUUUUCACUCAGAAAACCUACCGCGACAAGGUCCUAAGCAAAACAGGAAUACGAAGUUCAUGGCGCGCAGCUUUGUGUGUAAAUUUCUCCCGUCUCCCUUGUUCGUCUGGCAUGUUGUGAAACUGGCUCGUACGGUGUCGUUCGUGUCCGUACACAGUCCGAGCUGUCUCCCUGGAGCCAUUCCGUUGGCGAGCUGGGCCCUCGAGAGGUGGACGUCCGGGUGACACACAACGGCCUUUGUCAUACCGACUUGAGCAUGCGA